Molecule: ribosomal RNA, 447 nt
Filed under: uncultured bacterium
Lineage: Bacteria
Description: bacterial SSU rRNA
Rfam family: Bacterial small subunit ribosomal RNA
Source: RNAcentral
UGGGGAAUUUUGGGCAAUGGGCGAAAGCCUGACCCAGCAACGCCGCGUGAAGGAUGAAGUAUUUCGGUAUGUAAACUUCGAAAGAAUAGGAAGAAUAAAUGACGGUACUAUUUAUAAGGUCCGGCUAACUACGUGCCAGCAGCCGCGGUAAUACGUAGGGACCAAGCGUUGUUCGGAUUUACUGGGCGUAAAGGGCGCGUAGGCGGCAAUUCAAGUCAUCUGUGAAAUCUCCGGGCUUAACUCGGAACGGUCAGAUGAUACUGCUUUGCUAGAGUGCAGAAGGGGCAAUCGGAAUUCUUGGUGUAGCGGUGAAAUGCGUAGAUAUCAAGAGGAACACCUGAGGCGAAGGCGGGUUGCUGGGCUGAUACUGACGCUGAGGCGCGAAAGCUAGGGUAGCAAACGGGAUUAGAUACCCGGGUAGUCCCUGAGCGGGCUGGCAAGGCGCAU